This is a non-coding RNA of Oryza barthii, 207 nucleotides long. NCBI's taxonomy places the organism in Eukaryota, Viridiplantae, Streptophyta, Magnoliopsida, Poales, Poaceae. The record is from Rfam.
AAAAAAAACAAACUCUGAUUUUCGUGUCUAACGUUUGACUGUCCGUCUUAUAUGAAAAUUUUUAAUAAUUAGUAUUUUUAUUGUUGUUAGAUGAUAAAACAUGAUUAAUACUUUAUGCGUGACUUGUCUUUUUAAUUUUUUUCAUAAUUUUUUUAAAUAAGACGAACGGUCAAACGUUGAAUACGGAAACCCAGAGUUUGUCUUUUU